This 414-nucleotide ribosomal RNA is filed under the name uncultured bacterium. Its description in RNAcentral is "bacterial SSU rRNA". It matches the Rfam family "Bacterial small subunit ribosomal RNA", at positions 355 to 786 of the family's 1533-position model. The record is from RNAcentral.
UGGGGAAUCUUGCGCAAUGGGCGAAAGCCUGACGCAGCAACGCCGCGUGGGGGAUGAAGGCUCUCGGGUCGUAAACCCCUUUCAGUGGGAACGAAAUUGACGGUACCCACAGAAGAAGCACCGGCCAACUACGUGCCAGCAGCCGCGGUAACACGUAGGGUGCAAGCGUUACUCGGAAUUACUGGGCGUAAAGCGUGCGUAGGUGGUUUGUUAAGUCCGAUGUGAAAGCCCUGGGCUCAACCUGGGAAUGGCAUUGGAUACUGGCAGGCUAGAGUGCGGUAGAGGGGUGUGGAAUUCCCGGUGUAGCAGUGAAAUGCGUAGAUAUCGGGAGGAACAUCUGUGGCGAAAGCACUCUGCUGGGCCGACACUGACACUGAGAGACGAAAGCUAGGGGAGCGAAUAGGAUUAGAUACC